AAAGGGAGACCUAAUUCGGGUAUAAGACGAAAAAAUAGUAGUCGAAACCAAGAAUCAAUCCCAAAAGGUCGGAACGAGGAAUGUGGCUUUCAAACUAGGUUCUGGGUUCAUAAAAGACCUGAAUCAGGAACAAGGGCUAUUAGCUCAGGUGGUUAGAGCGCACCCCUGAUAAGGGUGAGGUCCCUGGUUCGAGUCCAGGAUGGCCCACCUGCACAGGUGGCAAAAACAAAGAAAAGAAGCGAGGAAUCAGCACCUUAUCUUACCUAUAUAGUAAGAGAGAAUGCUGGCUCUGAGUACAGAGUCCAGAGGAACCUUGAAAACUGCAUAGAGCUAGGUGAAAAAGCCAAAAAAGAAGACCGCAAG
Molecule: transfer RNA, 363 nt
Filed under: uncultured Microcystis sp.
Lineage: Bacteria; Bacillati; Cyanobacteriota; Cyanophyceae; Chroococcales; Microcystaceae
Description: partial 16S-23S ribosomal RNA intergenic spacer
Rfam family: tRNA (bases 134-207)
Source: RNAcentral